Molecule: ribosomal RNA, 185 nt
Filed under: Alteromonas confluentis
Lineage: Bacteria; Pseudomonadati; Pseudomonadota; Gammaproteobacteria; Alteromonadales; Alteromonadaceae
Description: partial 16S ribosomal RNA
Rfam family: Bacterial small subunit ribosomal RNA
Source: RNAcentral
UUUAAUUGAAGAGUUUGAUCAUGGCUCAGAUUGAACGCUGGCGGCAGGCCUAACACAUGCAAGUCGAACGGUAGCAGGAUGUGCUUGCACAUCGCUGACGAGUGGCGGACGGGUGAGUAAUGCUUGGGAACUUGCCUUUGCGAGGGGGAUAACAGUUGGAAACGACUGCUAAUACCGCAUAAUGU